AUACGGAGGAUCCGAGCGUUAUCCGGAUUUAUUGGGUUUAAAGGGAGCGUAGGCGGGAGAUCAAGUCAGCUGUGAAAUGUAGACGCUCAACGUCUGCACUGCAGUUGAAACUGGUUUUCUUGAGUGCGUAAGGGGCAGGCGGAAUUCGUCGUGUAGCGGUGAAAUGCUUAGAUAUGACGAAGAACUCCGAUCGCGAAGGCGGCUUGCCGGGCCGCAACUGACGCUGAAGCUCGAAGGUGCGGGUAUCGAACAGGAUUAGAUACCCUGGUAGUCCGCACAGUAAACGAUGGAUACUCGCUGUCGGCGAUAUACGGUCGGUGGCCAAGCGAAAGCGUUAAGUAUCCCACCUGGGGAGUACGCCGGCAACGGUGAAACUCAAAGGAAUUGACGGGG
Molecule: ribosomal RNA, 393 nt
Filed under: uncultured bacterium
Lineage: Bacteria
Description: partial 16S ribosomal RNA
Rfam family: Bacterial small subunit ribosomal RNA
Source: RNAcentral